Molecule: ribosomal RNA, 817 nt
Filed under: uncultured bacterium
Lineage: Bacteria
Description: bacterial SSU rRNA
Rfam family: Bacterial small subunit ribosomal RNA
Source: RNAcentral
AGAGUUUGAUCAUGGCUCAGAACGAGCGCUGGCGGCGUGGAUAAGACAUGCAAGUCGAACGCUGAUUAGAGGGUAGCAAUAUUUUCUAGUCGGAGUGGCGCAAGGGUGCGUAACACGUGGGUAAUCUGCCGUGAAGCCUGGGAUAACUCGCUGAAAGGCGAGCUAAUACCGGAUGUGACUGUUGGGAGGCAUUUUCCGACAUUCAGAGCUGGGGACUGUAACAGGCCUGGCACUUCAUGAUGAGCCCGCGGCCUAUCAGCUAGUUGGUGAGGUAACGGCUCACCAAGGCUAAGACGGGUAGCUGGUCUGAGAGGACGACCAGCCACACUGGAACUGAGACACGGUCCAGACACCUACGGGUGGCAGCAGUCGAGAAUUUUUCACAAUGGGCGAAAGCCUGAUGGAGCGACGCCGCGUGGGGGAUGAAGGGCUUCGAUCCGUAAACCCCUGUCAUUUGCGAACAAACCUUAUGGGUGAACAACUCAUGAGCUGAUUGUAGCGAAAGAGGAAGGGACGGCUAACUCUGUGCCAGCAGCCGCGGUAAUACAGAGGUCCCAAGCGUUGUUCGGAUUCACUGGGCGUAAAGGGUGCGUAGGUGGCCAGGUAAGUUUGAUGUGAAAGCUCGGAGCUUAACUCCGAAAUGGCAUUGAAUACUCUCUGGCUAGAGGUUUGGAGGGGAGACUGGAAUUCUCGGUGUAGCAGUGAAAUGCGUAGAUAUCGAGAGGAACACCGGUGGCGAAGGCGAGUCUCUGGACAACACCUGACACUGAGGCACGAAAGCUAGGGGAGCAAACAGGAUUAGAUACCCUAGUAGUCC